UUCGGGUUCGUCUAACCGGCAGGAUAACUGGCUCUGAACCAGUAGAUCGAGGUUCGAAUCCUUGACCCGAAACCA
Molecule: transfer RNA, 75 nt
Filed under: Acidobacteriota bacterium
Lineage: Bacteria; Pseudomonadati; Acidobacteriota
Description: Acidobacteria bacterium (activated sludge metagenome) tRNA-Gln
Rfam family: tRNA
About the family: Transfer RNA (tRNA) molecules are approximately 80 nucleotides in length. Their secondary structure includes four short double-helical elements and three loops (D, anti-codon, and T loops).
Source: RNAcentral